UCAUAGUUGCAAACUCGAUGACUAUGGAGGGAAAUGGCACCAAAAAUAUUUUGUAUUAUUACGAGCUUUCAUGGAACUGUAACUUACAAAUUAGCCCUCAAGCCUGAAAGAAUGGGUGGGUGGUGACAGCCGCUUCCUUUUCGGGCUGCUAUAGUCACACUUCCCUUCUAUUGUAAAGGCCCCCAUUUCAAUACUCUCUCUCUCUCUCUCCUCUCUCUNGCUCCCUACUACUCUCUCUCUCUCUCUCUCUCUCUCUCUCCCCCUGUGAUAUGACAUAUCUAUACUCAUUAAACUAUGGCAAAAGAUUUGCACGUCUGCUCGUCAACCUUGCUUAUCCUCCUGAGUGAGGAAGAAC
RNAcentral lists this long non-coding RNA (355 nucleotides) under Theobroma cacao (cacao). RNAcentral's name for it is "long non-coding RNA (TCAC_LNC001446)". Lineage: Eukaryota; Viridiplantae; Streptophyta; Magnoliopsida; Malvales; Malvaceae. The record is from RNAcentral.